UACAACAUCCUGCAAAACUCGGAAAUUGCAGUUGGCUGUGUGCCGCAGAGGACAUAUGUCAUGUGUUGGAAAGCAAUAAUGGACUGCAAAAGUUCAAAGCAUAUCUCUGAACCUCGCUCAGAUUACAAAUAUUAGCUUGACUCCUCAAGCUUUCAAAAAGAUGUGUUAUAUAAAUUUCGUAAAAGUUACGUUGUGAAGAUUGCAGGGACUACUACUACUACUACUACUACCACCACCCUUGGAAGGAUUGCAAUGUGCACUUUAAUCUUCAAGAUCUUGAAUAUCUUCCUGAUUCCCAUGUACAUCUGAGCUGGCCAUAAUACACUUUGAAAUAUUCAACACUCUGCUGAGAAUUUCACUGUGUUUUCUAUGCCUGGUAGCCAACUCCAGAGACUUUAGGAUGAAGGCAGGAGCCUAGGAACUAAAAACGAAUUGGUCUUUGUCAGUCCAAGCAGCUGGUUGAAGUUCCAAAUCUGUCUAUGUGUGUAAAAAUUGAGAGGAUACACAUUGAAGGCUGUAAGGGGCUGGUUGAACUUCCUUCCUUUUUUCAGACUCUUCACAAGCUUACUUGGUUAAAUGGCAUUAAGAAUCUUUCAAACAUCAUUUGGAAGCUGUAUUCCCUCACAUUUCUCAAGUUGUCUGGGACAUGUACAGAAGCAUUGCCUUCAUCAGUCGAGUGUCUCUCUGGACUGGAAAUACUUGUGCUGGAAGCUUGCACAAGGUUCACGAGUCUCCCAACCAGCAUCUGCAAGUUAAAAUCGCUUCAGAAUAUUUUUCUUAAUGGAAGCUCUAGCUUUGGAAACUUCCCUGAGAUCUUGGAGCCUAUGGAACGUCUGGAGCAUCUUCUUUUACGAAUUACAAGGAACCAAAUUUAAAGAGCUACCCUCUUUGAUUGAAAACAUAGUUGGGCGUAUGGAAUUAGUGAUACCUGGGUGUAUAAGCUCUGUGUCAUCAGUGGUUUUAUGGUGUUCGAUGAGUAGACUAGACCUCAGUGACUGCAUGAUGUUAGAAGAAAUUCCUGAUUGCAUCUUUAGCCUAAACAGGUCAUAUGAAUUAGAUGUGAGUAAAACCCUAAUUAGUAGCAUACCUUCAACCAUCACCCAAGCAUCUCGGCCAAGGAGAUUAAUGCUGAUGAAUUGCAAGAGCUAUGAAUCUUUACCAGAGCUCCCAUGUCUUCUAAAUUGGAUCGAUGCAAGUGGUUGCACCAGAAUGAAGAGUGUCCAGGAUAACGAGUGCUCCACUCAAAGAAGUUUUGAAUCAAAGCGGUUCGUACGUGCUGCAGAUAUUGUACAGUUGCUUUACUGUGGAUGAGAAUGCAAGAGGAACAUAAUGGAUGAUACACAUCUUAGAAAGAAGGCAACAGCAUAUUAUCCAGUACGUCUCUCUAUCUCUCUUUCUCUGCUAAUAUGUGCUUCUAAUUCUGAAAAUUUAGAAUAAAUAAUAAAUUUCAUAUCUGUGACGUCCAAUAUACAGAAUUUGGGUACAAUAUUACAUGUCCAGGAAAUGAAAUCCUAAGAUGAGUGAGUUAUCAAAUGGAGGGAUCUUCUAUAGACAUCACGCUUCCUCCACAUUGGUUUGAAGAUGCAAAUUAAUAUUUUGGGUUUAGCCUUUUGUGUUGUUAACUUACAUCGAGUGGAAGGUGUGGCGUAUAUAGUUGUUGUUCGAGUAAAACUAUGCACCGAACAAAAAAUGGUGAAAGCCACACACCAGUUUAGUAGUAGUUUCUCGCAUUAUUAAACCCGCUGUGGUGACAACAACUACGAUCACCCGGUGGCGUGGUAUGAUUCCCUUGCAAAAGGGAGGUCUACAUCUUAUAGCAAUGCCACAGAAGCCUAUUUUGUUUUCAAGUCACACAGUUGGAGGAAACUUCACCGCUUUUCUUCUAAGGUUCUUCGGUGAAAAGUGUGGGGUAGGGCUUUGUGUAUGCUCAAAACGGAGACGCAAAUAUUGUCAAAUGAUCAAUUUGUGAAU
Argentina anserina (silverweed cinquefoil) is the source of this 1971-nucleotide long non-coding RNA. RefSeq lists it as uncharacterized. Lineage: Eukaryota; Viridiplantae; Streptophyta; Magnoliopsida; Rosales; Rosaceae. The transcript is spliced from 4 exons. The record is from RefSeq and is a predicted model, not a curated record.